UCCUCGUCCUCCUUCGCGGCCCCCCGCCGCAAUGAACCCCCCCGCCGCGGCCGGCGGCGAGGAGCCGGGGGCGGCGGGCGGCUGCCGGGGGGCCGAGGGCGGCGGGGAAGCGGUGGGAGCCGCGGGGGUCCCGGAGGAGCCGGGGCUGGGCGAGGAGUCGCUGGAGGAGAAGCUGCGGAGCCUCACCUUCAGGAAGCAGGUGUCCUACAGGAAAGCUAUCUCCAGGUCAGGCCUCCAGCACUUGGCUCCUGUGCAUUCCCUCAACAUUGCAGUCUCCAAUGGACCUGUGAAGGAACCAAGGGCAGCAUUAGAGUGGACUGAAAAUGCUGUGAAUGGAGAGCAUCUGUGGCUGGAGACAAAUGUUUCUGGGGACCUCUGCUACCUGGGGGAGGAAAGCUGCCAAGUCAAAUUCUCAAAAUCUGCUCUGCGGAGGAAGUGUGCUGCGUGCAAGAUUGUGGUCCACAAUGCUUGUAUGGAGCAGUUAGAGAAGAUUAAUUUUCGCUGCAAACCAACUUUCCGAGAAGGGGGUUCCAGGUCUCCAAGAGAGAACUUUGUCCGACAUCACUGGGUGCACAGGCGGAGACAGGAGGGGAAAUGUAAGCAGUGUGGAAAGGGCUUUCAGCAGAAGUUCUCCUUCCAUAGUAAAGAGAUUGUGGCCAUCAGUUGUUCCUGGUGCAAGCUGGCGUUUCAUAACAAAGUCACCUGCUUCAUGCUACAUCACAUCGAGGAGCCGUGUUCCCUGGGGGCUCACGCAGCUGUCAUUGUGCCUCCCACCUGGAUCAUUAAGGUGAAGAAACCUCAGGUGGUCUCCAUACCAGGAGACGAGCCUGAUUGGGCAGGAGACUGGAGCCCCGAAGGGGAAAUGGGCGUCUCCUACCCCUAUUGGGAGGGUUGGCAGAACUCAUUAAAGACUUCAACGCGACGAAAGAAGAGAACAUCUUUUAAAAGAAAAGCCAGCAAAAGAGGCAAUGAAGAUAACAAAGGUCGGCCAUUUGUGAUAAAGCCUAUCUCCUCUCCACUCAUGAAACCAUUGCUGGUUUUUGUCAAUCCAAAAAGUGGAGGGAACCAGGGCACCAAGAUUCUCCAAACGUUUAUGUGGUAUUUGAAUCCACGCCAAGUCUUUGAUCUCUCUCAGGAAGGGCCAAAAGAUGCGCUGGAGCUGUACAGAAAAGUGCCAAACCUGCGGAUCUUGGCCUGCGGUGGGGAUGGGACGGUUGGGUGGAUCCUCUCCAUCCUAGAUGAACUGCAGCUCAACCCCCAGCCUCCCGUGGCUGUCCUUCCACUUGGCACUGGGAAUGACCUUGCCCGCACCCUCAACUGGGGUGGGGGUUACACGGAUGAGCCAGUGUCCAAGAUCCUGUGCCAUGUAGAAGAUGGAACCAUUGUCCAGCUGGACCGGUGGAAUCUCCAGGUUGAGCGCAACCCAGAUUUACCGCAGGAUGAGCUGGAGGAUGGGGCUCGUAAGCUUCCACUCAGUGUCUUCAAUAAUUACUUCAGCCUUGGUUUUGAUGCACAUGUUACACUGGAGUUCCAUGAAUCUAGAGAAGCGAAUCCAGAGAAAUUCAACAGCCGAUUUAGAAAUAAAAUGUUUUAUGCAGGGGCAGCCUUUUCAGACUUUCUGCAAAGAAGCUCAAAAGAUUUAUCCAAGCAUGUUAAAGUCGUGUGUGAUGGUACAGACCUGACUCCAAAGAUCCAGGAGCUGAAGUUCCAGUGUAUAGUGUUUUUAAAUAUUCCCAGGUAUUGUGCUGGCACAAUGCCCUGGGGAAACCCUGGAGAUCACAGAGACUUCGAGCCUCAGCGGCAUGAUGAUGGCUACAUUGAAGUCAUUGGGUUCACGAUGGCCUCACUGGCUGCUCUCCAAGUGGGUGGUCAUGGAGAGAGGCUGCAUCAGUGUCGUGAGGUGACGCUUUUAACAUACAAGUCUAUCCCCAUGCAAGUGGAUGGUGAACCUUGUCGUUUGGCUCCCUCACUCAUUCGGAUCUCAUUAAGGAACCAAGCCAACAUGGUGCAGAAGAGCAAGAGGAGAACAUCCAUGCCUCUGCUGAAUGAUAUCCAUAAAGUGCAGUCUGCUGACCUGAGGAGAGUCUCAGCUCCCCCUGAUUCCUUCACUGUUCCUCAUUCCAUCCCAGAUCGCCUGCGGAUCAGAGUGAACCGGAUUAAUUUGCAAGAAUAUGAGGGACUACUUUACGACAAGGAAAAACUGCGUGAAGCUUCCAUCCCCUUAGGAAUUAUAGUUGUACGAGGAGAUUGUGACUUGGAGACCUGUCGGAUGUACAUUGACCGUCUUCAGGAGGACCUACAGUCGGUAUCUUCUACUACACAGAGAGUUCACUACCAGGACCAAGAAAGCUCUUUCCCAAGAGUCCUUUCUGUUCAGAGGCUCUCUCCUAGAUGGUGCUUCCUAGAUGCAACUUCUGCUGAUCGUUUUUACCGCAUUGACAGAUCUCAGGAACAUUUGCACUUUGUGACGGAAAUUUCGCAGGACGAGAUUUUUAUUCUGGACCCAGAGCUGGUAAUGUCACAGCAGGGGGGGACGCCACCCGGAAUGCCUGAUCUGGUAGUGGAGCAGGCCUCUGGAAUAUCAGAUCGAUGGAACCCUGCAGUGCGAAAGAGGAUGCUGAGCGACAGUGGCCUCGGCAAGAUUUCCCCACACUACGAGGUACCUGACAAACAAAAGGACGCCAGCCAGACCCAUAUGCUGCAGUCACCCGUCUCUUCAGAAGAUCAAGCACUUUUACAGGCAGUCAUAGCUGGUGAUCUGCUGAAGUUCAUAGAAUGCUGUAAAAAAGGAGCCAAUUUGUUAAUCCAAGGACCCGACCAUGGCUCCUUGCUGCACCAUGCUGCCAAGACUGGGCACGGAGAGAUUGUGAAAUAUAUCCUGGAGCACGGUCCAUCUGAAUUGCUGGACAUGACAGACAGUGAAACGGGUGAGACGGCAUUACAUAAGGCAGCCUGCCAGCGCCAUCGUGCCAUCUGCCAGCUCCUGGUGGAUGCGGGAGCCUCGCUGAGAAAGACGGACUCCAAGGGUAAGACCCCUCGUGACAGGGCUCAGCAAGCUGGUGACCCAGAUCUGGCCUCCUACCUGGAGAGUCGACAGAACUACCAAAUGGUUCCCCAUGAGGAUCUGGAGACAGCAGUCUGAUGUCCGAAAGCGGCAAAGAGAAUCCUUGGAAAUAGCAAGGCUGCACCUGAGCACUUGGGCAUCGUGUGAGGAAGAAGCUGAUGGAAUCAACGUGUCUCUUGCUCUCAUGGAAAAUAUCUGAGGACAUGCCACCAGUUUCUAAGGGCUACUGAGUCUUGCCACGGAACAGUUAGGUUCCAUAAGAUAGCCCAUGAUGGAUGAGGUGGGACUCUCAAAGGUCUGUGGAAUCCAUGGGCCACGGAAAUUUACCUUUAUUGCUUCCAGCAAGUAGCAUGAACUUCUCCCAUGUUCAUCUGUACAUUUAUUAAAAAACAAGAAAAAGAAAAAAGAGAAGUUGGUGUGGGGGUACCAAACUAACUGGGACAUUAAAACAACAAGCCAGGCCCUCCUCCAUCCCUAUAUUUUCCUGCAUACCUUUAAUUCUCCCAUUCAUCUCACUUGUCAUCAGUUAAAUAGUACCUGUUAUCUCUGUGUUUUCACAAAUGGUCAGGCAGUAGCAGAAAUUUUGAGGAGCUCUGGAUGCCCUUAGGAAAAAACAUUUUUACCUGCUGUGUUCCCUCCCUUGCUGUCCCAUCAGAAGCUGCUUCCUCAGUGUUCAAUCACUGGGGAGUUUUCUCACUGUUGGAGAGAAUUCUGCCUAUUGCCUUGUUUUCUAGGGUGUGGGACACAGUUAAAUUUACAGCAGUAACAAAAUCUAAUGUCCUCAUGUUGCUGGGUAUAUGGUUACGGUAUUCUCAUGAGACAGGCGUUUGAUUGGAAAGGAGUUAUAUGGAAUAUAAAGCAUUGUAUGACAGAGCAGAAAUCUACCCCUAAGGUUUCUUGCAUCACCGUUGAGCUUAUAAUAACCAACUGGGUUUGCUCAGGUUUCAGACCAAUCUAAAAGCUGAUAGCUAUUUUUACUUCUGGCAAGAUGGGUUUUACGAUGAGGAGAGGAAACCUGGAAGGCUAUCCGUCAGCCAUGAACAAAUGAACAGGCACUGCCCUGGUCAUAUUGGGAAUAGGAAAACCUCCUCUGGCUGAGCCUGUAAACUACCUGAUUCCCCAAGGGAUGGGGAACAAAGUUCUAAAGAGAGGAUCUCCCCCUGGAGAAGGACAGGCAGCAGCUCUUUGCCUCAUUACUUUCUAUAGACUUGGAAACUUAAACUUGCUUAGCCACUAUACAGGCCAGUUGUGUCUACUGUACUCGUCUGUUCUCUGUUUUACCUCAAAGAUUAUAACCACAAAAGAAGAAAAAGCAGACAUACACAGACAUACGUAAAAUGUUCAUCUUCAGGUUUUCAAUCACUAAAGACAAUUCAGCUGCCAGAAAUAGCAGAGCUUCCACUUUGCUCAGUUCUUAUGAAGAUCCUCAUGGCCCACUUUUGGCAUAAUUCUUGCAAUAGAUUUUUGAAUUUUGCUUUGCUGUUUGUUUUGAAAGAUCCAAUGGUGUUUGGUUUCACAUGCAUCGCUAGGGGAAGGUCUCCAUUAGAUGGUGAUCAUCAGGAUUACAUGCAAUUUGGAAACCAUGGAAAUAACUCAGACAUGGAAUUGCUCAGUCUCCACUCAUGAUGCUGUAGCCUGGAUUUCUGACUACAUGAGAUGUCCCCUGCUACAUAAGGACCAUCACAUAGAAGCACUAUAGGCACAAGAAAAUAGAACAAAACCAAUGUUUGUUGCCAUCGAUCUUCCCAGUUGUAUUUGCAGAGAUGAAGCUGUUGUAGAUGAAUAGAUUUAUUUUUUUUUUCCUGGUGGUAUGGAAGUGUAAGUUCUGAUUUUAGCAGUAUUUUUUUUGUAUUCUUUUGCUCAUUUUUGUCUUUUUUUUUUUUUUAAACUUAUUAUUUUUCUGUGACAGUGACAUGCAUGGUAACGAAAAUCAGUAAUGCGCAACCUCACCUGGAAGGUAGCUAUUUUCUUUUCAGCCAACCCAGAUACCUACUAUGGGGUGUGUUUAUGUGUUCCAGUUUGUCAAGAACAUGUGGAGGAGAUCUGUCUGGGCAAAAACUAUGACAUGGGCAUGGUACAUUGGUAGCCUUAAGUAGCCUUAAUCUUGCAGGUGUUUAAUGGUACUCAAGAAAUUUAUGGAUGUACUGGAAACAUGAAUGCAUUGCAAUCACUCCAAGGACAAUUCUGUUCUUGCAUUUCCCUCCAAAAGGGAAGCAGUUCUCCUGCAGAUCUAUAUGAGUGUGUAAUUUUCUUUCCCCCAUUUUUUUGCUUCUUUUCCAUCAGACUUAACAUCCAUGGAGGAGUACUUUGUAAGAAUGGAGUUUAAAAUUCUGUAUAACAGCUCUUCUACCAUGUUGAAAGUAACAUUUCUUUUUCCAUUAUAUCUGUUCUUUUCCAUUCAUCAGACAUUAUUUCCUCCCUUUAUUUUCCUGCCUAAAUCUGAGCCAAAACAAUAUUGGGUUGUUUGCUUCCUAAUUAAUCUAAACAAUCAAAUGUGAGUACCUUCAAUUAUUUCAGCAGUCUUUAAAAGAGCUUACCAUAAAUCUGUGCCUUUCUGGAUACUUGUGAAGCUACAGGACAUAGUGUUACAGGGUUCGCUGCGGUGGUACUCAUCUUUUCAUUUUGCUUUCUUAGCAACAAUGCAGACAACUAUUUUUCUUAGUAAUGGAUAGCUACAGCUUUUAAAUCCCAGAGCUGCCUGCCAAGAUCGGUUGAUUGCAAUGGAGACUCAGUAAUGUGCCAAAAGUGACUUGCCAGCAUAUUGAUGAAGACCUGAAUUUUAUAUGGAGAAUGGGUCUUGAGCUUCAGAGCUUUAACUCCCUUUGGAAGUGCCAGAGGCAGCGCAUGGCUGCACUGUGGAAAUGCUUCAAGAGGAGUUAUAACCUAACCCAGCACUCAGGGCAAACAGAUUAUACAGAGGGGCAACAUGUCCCAGCAUUUGCUGAGGCAUUACCAAUGCCAACAGACUGCACCAGCUUUGCUUAGGCUGCCCAAAAGUGGGCUAUAGGUACCUGGGAAGUUCCUCACUUACAAUUCUCUUUCAAAGUUGGCUUGGGAGGGAUAAGCUACCCGGCAGUCAAAGCAGUGACUGUGGCUAAGUGUACUCCAAGCUAUGCUGUGGGGCACCGUGCUGCUUCUGACUGCCUUGCCUGAAGCCCUCUGUAGGUACCAGAGCUCAGGGGCCCCCCUUUCUUUCCCCAGCACAUUUCCAGCACCCCUGGCCAGGAUGGUGCCAACAGAAAGCAGCGUUCUCUUGCCCCCCGUAGUUAUGUGCUGGCGCAGUGCCCCCUACCUUGGCCAAGGGAUUUCCUGGCCUGCCUAUGGUGCCGCUACUGCAAAGGGGGAAAAUUCCUCCCUCAGGCCUUGAUCAUGCCAGUAACUUCAUUACAUUUGACUUCAGUGAUUAGGCAGGCUUAGAGCUGAAUAACCUUACUGUGUUCAGCCAUCAGAGUGCAUCUUGUCUCCUGCCUUAUUUAUAAGGUGCCACAUUCCAAUCUCAGCUGCAGUUUCUUGUUUCCCAGAUUUUUAUUUUUUUUUUAAGACAAUCUAUCCUAUGCAGUACACAUGUAUUCAGUUACCUAGGGAGUGGGGAAGACAAGCAGCUUGUUUUAAAAUUCCUCAUUCUGAUGUAGCACGUCUUCUUCUAAGAAGUCUAAGUGGGGGGUGCCUUGCAACAAAAGCAGGUUUUGACAUAAACACAUCUAUAAUUCUGAAAAGAAUUUUAAACUUAGCCCUUUAAAUCAUUCAGCUUAUGAUCCUGCCUCCCUUAUGUGGAGGAGAUUUGGGGAAUCUGAAUCUAAGGCAGCAGUGAUUCUCUUGACACAGACAUACAAAAGGUGAAUACCUGCGAGAGCAAAUGACAGACAAUCUUCAGAAAAUGGUUUAUAUUAUUUUGUCCUCAUCUACUAGAGACAGAACUCUGAUUUGGGAAUGCUAUUUCAGAGUUCCCUAGUACGCUAACAGCUCCAGCUCUCAUAUACAAAGUACAUGGAAGCUGUAGCAAUUUGACAUGCGAGAAAUAAGCACUAUUUGUUUUAGCAAUACAGUACUACAUAUGUAAUUGCUUCAUCUAGACCAGCCUCCUUUUGCGGGCAGAGUGUAACACCUGGCUCUUCAAUUAGUCCCUGUCUAGGAGGAUGCUUGAUGUGUAACCUACCACUCAGCAAAGUGUGCAUGGUGCCAAUCUGGUGCUCCAUUAUGACAAGUGCUGCAGCAAAUAGCUAACUGCUAAUGCAUGAAACACCGCCGCAAUUCAUUUCUUAGCCUUACCCUUUAUUUUAAUGAGAAAAAUGACCUUCUGGUUCCAACUGUCUUAACGACCUUCAAUUAUCACUUUUUUUUUUUUUUUUUUUUUUUUUUUCUUCCCCCUCAAGCCUGUGGCCAAGCAAAGGGAGAACACAGCCCCUGUUCCUACAGGUAUUCAGGAACAUAGGUCCUGUCUGGGAACUGUAGAAACCAGUUAGGUUUGUAAGUAUGGAGGAGAAACUCAAGAAGGUUUUGAGCAUGAUUCAACAGACAUUAACAAUUUCUACUUGGCUAGUUUGGCUCUAAUGGAUAGUCUGCCUUUUCUAGGAUUUUUUUUUCCUUUUCUCUUCCUCUCUCUCUCUUUAUUGUUAUUAAUUAUUAUUAUUAGCUAUUAACACAGGAAAUGAAAGAAGGCAAGAUUAGAAAAGUAAAACUAAGCUGGACCCUGGGAAUGGGGACCCUACAGAAUGGAUUCCAUAGUCAUUGCUAUUUUCUGGGCAGAGUUGCAGUGCUAGUUGUUGAAGAUCACUGUAAUGAGCAAUUUUGCACCAUAAUCAGACUUAUCCACUUUUAAUAAUGUGAGAAGGGGCUAUUUCUUCUCCAAGCUCACUGCUCCCAAUAUUUAUGUCAUCCUUAUGCAGGGGGCAUCUUGUUCCUGCCCCCACUGGGAUCACCACACAAGCUUCUGGGGCUCACUGUUCUGUUUGCAAGUCUUGAGGCCUCAUGAGGUGAUACAAGAUGC
Non-coding RNA from Anas platyrhynchos (mallard), 8051 nucleotides. Lineage: Eukaryota; Metazoa; Chordata; Aves; Anseriformes; Anatidae. The record is from RefSeq and is a predicted model, not a curated record.